Molecule: long non-coding RNA, 329 nt
Organism: Saccostrea cuccullata (small rock oyster)
Lineage: Eukaryota; Metazoa; Mollusca; Bivalvia; Ostreida; Ostreidae
Exons: 3
Source: RefSeq, a predicted model, not a curated record
GACAACUGGUGUGGUCUUGACCUCCAAUAGGAUGGCUUCGAUCACCUAUGGUAGGUAUUGUUUCUCUCUUCUUUCACCCCACCCCUUCACUCUUCUAUUUUUUCUAAAUGUGUAUGUCUUUUUUUCAGGUGAGGGCAAGACCACCACGACCACCAAGAGCUAUGAAGUGAUGACAGGGGAAAUCACAAUACCCACUGCAGCUGUUGUUGUUAUUACCGAAAAACCCAGAGACUAAAAUAGAUUUGUAUAUUUUAGUUUAUUAUCCUUGUUUAUUAUACCCUUGAUAGUGCCUGGCUUCCAGCUUUUUAGACAUUAUAAACGCACGCAUU